Molecule: unclassified non-coding RNA, 157 nt
Filed under: Cortinarius balaustinus
Lineage: Eukaryota; Fungi; Basidiomycota; Agaricomycetes; Agaricales; Cortinariaceae
Description: partial internal transcribed spacer 2
Source: RNAcentral
AUAUAAUAUCAACCUUGUGUUGGAUGUGGGGGUUUUGUUGGCCUUUGAGAGGUCAGCUCCCCUGAAAUGCAUUAGCGGAACUAACUUGCCGUUCAUUGGUGUGAUAAAACUAUCUACGUGAAAGGCAGGGUUCAGCUUCUAACAAGUCUAUCAUUUA